RNAcentral lists this ribosomal RNA (17 nucleotides) under Trichomonas tenax. RNAcentral's name for it is "partial 18S small subunit ribosomal RNA". The record is from RNAcentral. Lineage: Eukaryota; Parabasalia; Trichomonadida; Trichomonadidae. RNAcentral also lists the same sequence under 2 other names.
CCUGCCGUUGGAUCAGU